Molecule: non-coding RNA, 74 nt
Organism: Ornithorhynchus anatinus (platypus)
Lineage: Eukaryota; Metazoa; Chordata; Mammalia; Monotremata; Ornithorhynchidae
Source: Rfam
UGGCCCCAGAAAUCAAGGAUGGGUGAGACCUCUUGCACAAGUGGAAGGCGACCCAUACUUGGUUUCAGGGGCUU